RNAcentral lists this ribosomal RNA (402 nucleotides) under Verrucomicrobiota bacterium. RNAcentral describes it as "Verrucomicrobia bacterium partial 16S ribosomal RNA". It matches the Rfam family "Bacterial small subunit ribosomal RNA", at positions 355 to 776 of the family's 1533-position model. The record is from RNAcentral. Lineage: Bacteria; Pseudomonadati; Verrucomicrobiota.
UGGGGAAUUUUGCACAAUGGGGGAAACCCUGAUGCAGCGACGCCGCGUGUUUUAGAAGGCCUUCGGGUUGUAAAAAUCUUUUGUAUGGGAAGAAAAUGACAGUACCAUAGGAAUAAGGACCGGCUAAUUACGUGCCAGCAGCCGCGGUAAUACGUAAGGUCCGAGCGUUGUCCGGAAUCAUUGGGCGUAAAGGGUACGUAGGCGGGUAAGCAAGUUAGAAGUGAAAUCCUGUAGCUCAACUACAGUAAGCUUUUAAAACUGCUCAUCUUGUGAUAUGGAAGGGAAAGUGGAAUUCCUAGUGUAGCGGUGAAAUGCGCAGAUAUUAGGAGGAAUACCGGUGGCGAAGGCGACUUUCUGGCCAUAAUCUGACGCUGAGGUACGAAAGCGUGGGUAGCAAACAGG